This 71-nucleotide transfer RNA is filed under the name Candidatus Vidania fulgoroideorum. RNAcentral's name for it is "beta proteobacterium endosymbiont of Hyalesthes obsoletus HO1-V tRNA". It matches the Rfam family "tRNA". Rfam says of the family: Transfer RNA (tRNA) molecules are approximately 80 nucleotides in length. Their secondary structure includes four short double-helical elements and three loops (D, anti-codon, and T loops). Lineage: Bacteria; Pseudomonadati; Pseudomonadota; Betaproteobacteria. The record is from Rfam by way of RNAcentral.
AGGUCUAUAGCUUAAUGGUAAAGCUUUGCUUUAAUAAGGCAAAAAUAUUGGUUCAAUUCCAUUUAGGCCUA